Molecule: ribosomal RNA, 208 nt
Filed under: uncultured bacterium
Lineage: Bacteria
Description: partial 16S ribosomal RNA
Rfam family: Bacterial small subunit ribosomal RNA
Source: RNAcentral
UGCGUAGGCGGAUAUUUAAGUCGGGUGUGAAAUCCCCGGGCUCAACCUGGGAACUGCACUCGAUACUGAAUGUCUAGAGUAUGGUAGAGGAAAGUGGAAUUUCCGGUGUAGCGGUAAAAUGCGUAGAUAUCGGAAAGAACAUCAGUGGCGAAGGCGGCUUUCUGGACCUAUACUGACGCUGAGGUACGAGAGCGUGGGGAGCAAACAG